GGGAAAAUGGGGCAGCUAUACAUGCAGUCGAACGAACUCUGGUAUUGAUUGGUGCUUGGAUCAUGAUUUACAUUUGAGUGAGUGGCGAACUGGUGAGUAACACGUGGGAAACCUGCCCAGAAGCGGGGGAUAACACCUGGAAACAGAUGCUAAUACCGCAUAACAACUUGGACCGCAUGGUCCGAGUUUGAAAGAUGGCUUCGGCUAUCACUUUUGGAUGGUCCCGCGGCGUAUUAACUAGAUGGUGGGGUAACGGCUCACCAUGGCAAUGAUACGUAACCGACCUGAAAGGGUAAUCGGCCACAUUGGGACUGAGACACGGCCCAAACUCCUACGGGAGGCAGCAGUAGGGAAUCUUCCACAAUGGACGAAAGUCUGAUGGAGCAACGCCGCGUGAGUGAAAAAGGGUUUCGGCUCGUAAAACUCUGUUGUUAAAGAAGAACAUAUCUGAGAGUAACUGUUCAGGUAUUGACGGUAUUUAACCAAAAAGCCACGGCUAACUACGUGCCAGCAGCCGCGGUAAUACGUAGGUGGCAAGCGUUGUCCGGAUUUAUUGGGCGUAAACCCAGCUCAGGCGGUUUUUUUAUCCCUAAGUGACAGCCUUCCCCCCAACCAAAAAAAAAAGCCUCAUACCUAGU
Molecule: ribosomal RNA, 638 nt
Filed under: Lactiplantibacillus plantarum
Lineage: Bacteria; Bacillati; Bacillota; Bacilli; Lactobacillales; Lactobacillaceae
Description: Lactobacillus plantarum partial 16S ribosomal RNA
Rfam family: Bacterial small subunit ribosomal RNA
Source: RNAcentral